This is a long non-coding RNA of Rhododendron vialii, 364 nucleotides long. RefSeq lists it as uncharacterized. The record is from RefSeq and is a predicted model, not a curated record. The transcript is spliced from 2 exons. NCBI's taxonomy places the organism in Eukaryota, Viridiplantae, Streptophyta, Magnoliopsida, Ericales, Ericaceae.
AGAGGAGGAGGAGGAGGAUUGCCGACCACCACCGAGCCACCCAUCCCCAGCGACGACCACCACCGCUCCCAGUAGAGCCCACCACUUUAAUUUUGCCCAUUCUACGGAUUGCCCAGGGUAUUGCGUGUUGUGCUCAUCUCCAUUCACAGCACCUCUCUCUCGCCUCCCUCUCUGUUCACUUGCUCUCUGGCCCUCCGAUCCAGCGCCGCUGCAUCGCACCACCACACUGCCUCUCUACUCCGUCAACGGCAUCGCCAUCGGAAAUUUUUUGAGCUGCUGAGGAGAGGAACUGCCGAGGGUUGUGAUUCUGCAAUCAAAUGCUUGCGGACAGCGGUUGCGCGUUGUGCCCUAGAUGCCUGUCCGG